AGCGAACGCUGGCGGCAGGCCUAACACAUGCAAGUCGAACGGAUCCUUCGGGAUUAGUGGCGGACGGGUGAGUAACACGUGGGAACGUGUCCUUUGGUUCGGAACAACUCAGGGAAACUUGAGCUAAUACCGGAUGUGCCCUUCGGGGGAAAGAUUUAUCGCCAUUGGAGCGGCCCGCGUCUGAUUAGCUAGUUGGUGAGGAAACGGCCCACCAAGGCGACGAUCAGUAGCUGGUCUGAGAGGAUGAUCAGCCACACUGGGACUGAGACACGGCCCAGACUCCUACGGGAGGCAGCAGUGGGGAAUCUUGCGCAAUGGGCGAAAGCCUGACGCAGCCAUGCCGCGUGAAUGAUGAGGGUCUUAGGAUUGUAAAAUUCUUUCAGCGGGGACGAUAAUGACGGUACCCGCAGAAGAAGCUCCGGCUAACUUCGUG
RNAcentral lists this ribosomal RNA (433 nucleotides) under uncultured bacterium. Its description in RNAcentral is "partial 16S ribosomal RNA". It matches the Rfam family "Bacterial small subunit ribosomal RNA", at positions 29 to 507 of the family's 1533-position model. The record is from RNAcentral.